UAUUCCGAUCCCUCGAGGCCCACCGAUACAUACUUACCUCCUACUCGAAUCGCGAAAAGAAUCGAUUAAUAAAAUCUGUAUCGACAACCAGGGGGCACUAAAGUAGUCAGGUUUGACGCUUAACAACAGUGACUCAUAUUGUUGACAUAUCGACGUCAUUUAGAACGAAACAAAUGUUUCAAGAGCGAGAAACAAAAGUUUAGAAGAACCAAAAAUAAAUUAUCGAAGGUUCCAGAAUGUUUACCAUGUAAGCAGAAAUUCUACGAAUUCUACAGGAUGCGUCACGAGACGGUCGCAGAGCGGAAGUGGAACACCUUCCGACCGAUAUACGCAACAACGUCGAUGUGGGUGGCGAUGAGGAUGUAGGUUGGGAUACAGACGAUGCUACGGGGAGUAGGCAAUAGCAUGGGGAUAGGCCGUAAUUGGUAUAAAAUCAUCGAGCAAACACAUCGGACAAGACAGCCUGAGGGUUGUGGGCGGCGUUACGUGCCGUCGCCUUGGUAACCGUGGGGCGAUUCUGCUAAAGCACCCCUUCGCCUUGAUUGCGCACAGGCCCAACCGCCCCCCGUAUACGUCGAGCAAGAAACUCCGAUUUUCAGGAUCAUGUAGCCGACGUCGAUCACGCGUCUCUCGAUUCUCGUCAAAUUAAGGCGCCUUCGACCUUCCUUCCUCUGAUCGUCGGCUUAAUCGCGGUCAGCGUCAGGACGUCGCCGUCGGGAAUGGGUCGCGUCCGCGACGGGUGAUCGCGCAAUUUCACAGGAUCGUGACUGCGUCAGAUUCGCUGGCCGAAGAAUUUAACGAGGCGCACGCGGCUCGCCCUCCUUCGGUGCUAUCGUCCUUCCAAUCGCACACGUUCGAUAAUAGCGGCCCUUGUAAACGCGAACACCCUUAAUCACUGUGUCCUUGUUACACGUUACACCAAUCUCACGGCUGAUGUAUAUUCAUGGACCUGUCCACGCAUGUCGAACCAGAAUCGUGUAAAUGCCACCGAUCGCUCACCUGACCUGCUCGAACACCCGAUACGAUCAUUUUCAUGGAAGGGUGGAUUUCGUGUAACGUACGAUGACGCGCAGGUUGUUGAUUGAUAUCUGCGAUGCAAUCGCUUGGUUACGAGAUACAUCGGUGUUUAUAAGUAUCACGAUACCUACCCGUUACAUUCAUUGGAAAAGACCAACAACUUUUACUUUGGUCAAUCCUGUUGUUUUGUUUGCAUCUACGAUCUAUGUGACAUGCAGUGGAUGUUACGUUUCGAUUGAUACGUAGAUUCGUAACAAAAUAAUUAGUAUCUAAGAACAGAGAAAAGUAUUCAAUUUAUAUGAAGUAUCAACAGAUGUUCCAAUAUGUGUAGAUUUAGAGUUGUCGAAAGUUGCGUAAAUUGACACUGUGAGGUUUCGUCAUUGGAUUCUCCCGAGUUAAUUAUAAUCUUAUUAGAAACGUAAUAUUUUCAGUCGAUUAAUUGUUUAAUUUGUCGAUGCUUCCUUCGGGCAAAGAUAAAUGUCUCGAUAUUUUGCUUGAAACUUUUUGCAUCCACGGUCCUUGCAGAAUUGAAGUUUCGAAUACGCUUCGAUAGAGGCUUCUUAAUUUCUCCAGUUCUCACAGUGCCAAGUCGACUUUCGAAUCGCACGAACACAGUGCGAUUCUGUUCUCGAAUAGAAAAAUUAGUGACUCCUCCCGUGAAACCUGUCUUUUUAGACUCUAAUAGCGGAGCCGAGACUGACGGCGAUUAUAAAGAGGCACGUGCCUCCCUUCAUGAGCGACCCCAUGCAGGCAAGCACGCGACCACCGAAAGCUAACCCAAGAAUCGUACAUGGCACAAUUAAUUUAUUGUUCGUGCCGGUGCAGUGACAAUCGGGCGAACGCCAGAGAAAAACAGGAUCGUUGUUUUCUUCUAUUUCAUUCGGGGGGAUCCGGGAACGGAUGCCGCCAGCCGAUCCUUCGCCUUUGUCGUGGGAUAAUCAACGACCUCUUCAGAAUGCCGAGUUUUCCUCGAUGGUAUAAAUUGUACGAUUUCAUAAAAAGUUGUAUAAAAUUAUAAAAUGUUUAACUUUGGUUAAAAAAUUCUCGCAACGUUCUUCGUAAAAGAACGUAAAAGAACGUUCAACGUUCUUUUUAAAGACUUUCUCUUAUAGUUUCAUAUUUGUAUUGCCGCAGUUGCUUACAAUAUAAUAUUAGCUUUCACGACAAGAAGGACAGCACAGCAAGGAGGCAAGAAAAAAGCAAAGUAGCAAUAAUGUUUAGUCAUAAGUUGCAAUAGUUUGCAGUCAUUAGUUUUAGACGCUAGAGGUAAGAAUAUGCUAAUGAGUGCAAUACGAUAAAUGUAAGAAUUGUAAUCCGAAAGUUCGUCCAAAGCCGAAAGCCACGGACUAAAAUAAAUAAUAAUAAUAAUAAUAAUAAUAA
Bombus pyrosoma is the source of this 2397-nucleotide long non-coding RNA. RefSeq lists it as uncharacterized. The transcript has 3 exons. The record is from RefSeq and is a predicted model, not a curated record. Lineage: Eukaryota; Metazoa; Arthropoda; Insecta; Hymenoptera; Apidae.